CCUACGGGAGGCUGCAGUGGGGAAUAUUGCACAAUGGGCGCAAGCCUGAUGCAGCCAUGCCGCGUGUGUGAAGAAGGCCUUCGGGUUGUAAAGCACUUUCAGCGGGGAGGAAGGCGUUAAGGUUAAUAACCUUGUCGAUUGACGUUACCCGCAGAAGAAGCACCGGCUAACUCCGUGCCAGCAGCCGCGGUAAUACGGGGGGUGCAAGCGUUAAUCGGAAUUACUGGGCGUAAAGCGCACGCAGGCGGUCUGUCAAGUCGGAUGUGAAAUCCCCGGGCUCAACCUGGGAACUGCAUUCGAAACUGGCAGGCUAGAGUCUUGUAGAGGGGGGUAGAAUUCCAGGUGUAGCGGUGAAAUGCGUAGAGAUCUGGAGGAAUACCGGUGGCGAAGGCGGCCCCCUGGACAAAUACUGACGCUCAGGUGCGAAAGCGUGGGGAGCAAACAGGAUUAGAUACCCCAGUAGUC
Molecule: ribosomal RNA, 465 nt
Filed under: uncultured Klebsiella sp.
Lineage: Bacteria; Pseudomonadati; Pseudomonadota; Gammaproteobacteria; Enterobacterales; Enterobacteriaceae
Description: bacterial SSU rRNA
Rfam family: Bacterial small subunit ribosomal RNA
Source: RNAcentral